CAGGGAAAAGCUCACAGUUGGAACCUAGCUGCCUUAGGUAGUUCGGAUUGUAAACUGAAAAAGUGUUAUCCAGGCUAGCCGAGUAAAAAAGUUUCUUGGAAUAGAACAUCAUGGAGGGUGAGAAUCCCGUCUUUGGCUUGAGCAUAGUCUUUUGUGUUGCACUUUAACGAGUCAGGUUGUUUGGGAAUGCAGCCUAAAGUGGGAGGUAAAUCCCUCCUAAAGCUAAAUAUUGGCGAGAGACCGAUAGCAAACAAGUACCGUGAGGGAAAGAUGAAAAGAACUUUGAAAAGAGAGUUAAACAGUAUGUGAAAUUGCUAAAAGGGAAGCGUUUGAAGACAGACUAGCUUGGUUAUAAUCAGCCUGGAUUUUUCUUGGUGUACUUGUAGCCUAUGCUUGCCAACAGCAGUUUGGUUUGGCUGAAAAAACUAGUAGUAAGGUGGCUCUCUUCGGGGAGUGUUAUAGACUAUUAGAAAAUCAGUUGGACUGGACUGAGGAAUGCAAUGCAGCUUGCCUUGGGGUGAACCAGAUUGGAUAGGAACCAUUGUUCCUUGAAGGUUUGGGUAGCUCUUCGAACUGUAUUUAGGUUGUUGGCUUAAUGUCUUUAAACG
This 608-nucleotide ribosomal RNA is filed under the name Circinella chinensis. RNAcentral describes it as "eukaryotic LSU rRNA". It matches the Rfam family "Eukaryotic large subunit ribosomal RNA", at positions 98 to 646 of the family's 3401-position model. The record is from RNAcentral. Lineage: Eukaryota; Fungi; Mucoromycota; Mucoromycetes; Mucorales; Lichtheimiaceae.